UACGGGGGGGGCAAGCGUUGUUCGGAAUUACUGGGCGUAAAGGGCUCGUAGGCGGCCAACUAAGUCAGACGUGAAAUCCCUCGGCUUAACCGGGGAACUGCGUCUGAUACUGGAUGGCUUGAGUGUGGGAGAGGGAUGCGGAAUUCCAGGUGUAGCGGUGAAAUGCGUAGAUAUCUGGAGGAACACCGGUGGCGAAGGCGGAUCUCUGGGCCAUUACUGACGCUGAGGAGCGAAAGCGUGGGGAGCGAACAGG
Molecule: ribosomal RNA, 253 nt
Filed under: uncultured bacterium
Lineage: Bacteria
Description: partial 16S ribosomal RNA
Rfam family: Bacterial small subunit ribosomal RNA
Source: RNAcentral